Cucumis sativus (cucumber) is the source of this 3025-nucleotide long non-coding RNA. RefSeq lists it as uncharacterized. The record is from RefSeq and is a predicted model, not a curated record. The transcript has 2 exons. NCBI's taxonomy places the organism in Eukaryota, Viridiplantae, Streptophyta, Magnoliopsida, Cucurbitales, Cucurbitaceae.
UUAGUCAAGCUCUUGUAUGAUUUGGUAUGUAGAAGAGUACAUCUGAUCAUUCGGUUUUCUAUCGUCGAUCUGAUAAUGGUAUAGUUCUACUAGUUGUAUAUGUUGAUGAUAUUUUUUUUACUGGAAAUGAUGCAUCGGGUAUUUCGUCUCUCAAAACUUUCCUUCAGGGUCAGUUUUAUACGAAAGAUUUGAGCCAAUUGAAAUAUUUUUUGGGCAUUGAAGUGAUGAGAAGCAAAAAAGGAUAUGUGAAGACUGGAGAACAAUUGGGAGAUAUUUUGGCUAAAGCUUUAAAGAUGGAGCAAUGAUAAGCUAUCUGUGCAACAAGUUGGACAUGAUCGACAUAUUUGCUUUUGCUUGAGGGGAGUGUUAUGAUAUAUAGUUAUAACACAUGUCCUUUAUUGUAAUUGUACACAGUGUCUAGGGGUUAUUUUUCUUGUUGAAGAGAGCACUACUGGGUUGGGGAAUAUACACACCAGUUGGAGAGCUUUCAAUGCGAAGGACGAAAGCGUCGUCUAAUGGUGGAAUCUUAGAGUCAGAGAGAAUCUGUGCCUUUGGCAUUUCAAAUUCAGCUAAGAGUCCAUUCAAAAAGAUCAUAACAACCAUCUUCUCUCGUUGAGCUUGUUGAACUUUAACAACAUGACUAAAAGGUAACAACAAGCCAAGCUCGACAGUUAUCUUCUUAAGGCACUUAAAGUAGUUGGUAACAGACUUAGCUUUUUGUUCAGCACGAAAAAAUUUCAUACAAACCUCAAACAUUUUAUGUACUUGCUCUUUACUUGAAUAUAAAAAAUCUAAAAAUUCCAGAAGUUCUUGAACAGACUCACAAUGAUCAACCAAUCCAAUUAUCUCACUCUCAAUGGAGUUUUUGAUCUGAAGAUAUAAACGGGCAUCAUCACGAAGCCAAUAAUUUUUCUGCUUUGCAUCUUCUGGGAGAUCUUUGCUCAUAUGAUCAUCCAUAUUAGUACUUCUCAAAAUAGAACAAAAUUGUCCGACGCCAGUCGUAAUAAUUAGAUUAAUUUAACUUGAUGUUUUGUAAUCUUAGAGGCUAAGGGAAUAAUGUUGGAGAUUAUCAAAUUUUUUUAUGUCAGCAAAAUUGAAGUCACACAUUGAUUGUAGUCUACACAAUCAAAGAAAAAAUCAAUCCAAAUAGAUAGAAAAUUGGAAUAAAACCCUAAAACAAUGGCGUAGCCUUCAGUUUUUGUCAAACCGAAUACUAUUUGAUAACAACACAGAUUGACCGAAAACAAAGUUUGAGACAAGCCCAGAAGACGGAGGUCAAAUCGGAGUCCUCACGCACUAGCGCGUGGAUGACGUGCAAAGAUAUUUCGACAGCGUGUGAAGCUCACGCGCGGUGUUUUCCGACGAUCGACGAAGGCAGUCUUGGGCUGAUGGAGGUGGCGCUUCUUAUGGUCUGGACGAUGUUGACAAACGAUCAGUGGAAGGUAACCUGAACUUAAGCCUAAUGGAGAAGGAAGCUAACGACCAUUCGAAAGCCUAACAACUCCAAUACCAUGUAAUCCAGAAUUCAAAGAAGUGUACUUAUUCAUUUGAAUCAAAGAAAAUUUACAUAUUUAUAUAGAGAACAAAAUAAACCCUAGACACUAUGUACAAUUACAAUAAGAGACAUAUGUUAUAACUAUAUAUCAUAACACAAUCCGUGGUGGCCACCUACCAAGGAAAUUUUCUAGAGUUUUCUUGACACCCAAAUGUUGUGUGGUCAGCUGGUUAGGCGAGUUGUAUAAAAAAACAUGUCUUAGAGGUCGGAUGAAUUAGGGGUGGGUUGUCUUAAACAAUGAAAUGCUGCUCUUUUGUUAAAGUGGUUUUGGCCGUUCUCCCUGCAAGAAAAUAGUAUGGGGAGGAGAGUUGUUGUUGCUAUGUAUGCCAUAUAGUCAAAUGGUUGGCUAAUUAAACGUGCUAAAAUUGUUGCCAAUGGAAGGCCUUGGAUAGAUCUUGAGAAAAUAAAAAUAGGUAAUUGUUCCUUGAUCUAGUAAAUUAGAAGUGUGCAGAUGGCACAAAAAUUCGAUUUUGAAAAGAUACAUGGACCUCACAUGCUCCUCUCCAUGUGAAAUACUCUGUUCUAUAUGCCUUUAUCUUCCAAAAUAGAGGCUUCAAUCUCAGACUGUUGGUAAGUUACUGUAAAUACUUGGUAUUUGGGGUCGAGGAGGCACUUUUUUUACUUUGAGAUUCUUAUAGGUGCUUAGUUCAUAGAGCAUAUUAAGGUUGGUAGGCUUGGAAGUAGUUUGGACUGACUUGUGGAAGUUGACCUCUUUGGCACUUUGAAUGCUAAAUCUGUUUUCCUUCAUUUGAUGCAGUCUCAUGCCAAUUCAAUGCCAAUUCAAUGUACUCGUUGACUAUAUAUGGGAGAUAAAGGUUCCCAUGAGUGUUUUACUUGGUCAUUGAUGAAGACAAAUUUAAUAUUAUAUCACUCAACACUCCUCCUCACUUGUGGGCUUGAUAUAUGAAGAAUGCCCAACAAAUUGAAAUCAAUUUUAAAUGGGGAUGAAAUAACGUUGCAAGGGUGUGCACAAGACCUUUGGGCCCUACUGCUCUGAUACCAUCUUAAAUCACUUAUUAACUCUAAAGCUUAAGCUAGUGAGCGUGAAGGAAAAUUUUAUUUUAUAUCAUUCAACACCUUGCAUCCAUGUCCUCUAAGUUCUUUAUUAUUUUCACGACCCUUAUUGACCAAUGGACAUUGUCAUUGUUGGGAGCAUGGAUUUUAAGGGCAAAGUAUGGAUUUUGGAAGCCUAUUGUGUAAUUAGAACUGUCCUUUUUCAGACUUGGAAGGAAAUAAAUCAAGACUUUUGGAUGUCUAAGUUGGUCGUUUACUUUAGGAACAAUGUAUUGUAUACUACAUCUUGAUGGUGUACAAACAACAAAAAGUUUUUUCUACUUACAACCUCAUUAUUUUGAAUGGUUCUGGAUUUGUUGGCUUAGUUGUUGUAUGUCAGGGGCUUUUUCAUCCCCUGAUCCUUUAGGCCGUCCUAUUUCUUUUGUAUAUAAUACAACCUUGUGCUUCUUACAAAAA